UCUUGAGAGCGGCGGACGGGUGAGUAAUGCCUAGGAAUCUGCCUGGUAGUGGGGGAUAACGUUCGGAAACGGACGCUAAUACCGCAUACGUCCUACGGGAGAAAGCAGGGGACCUUCGGGCCUUGCGCUAUCAGAUGAUCCUAGGUCGGAUUAGCUAGUUGGUGGGGUAAUGGCUCACCAAGGCGACGAUCCGUAACUGGUCUGAGAGGAUGAUCAGUCACACUGGAACUGAGACACGGUCCAAACUCCUACGGGAGGCAACAGUGGGGAAUAUUAGACAAUGGGCGAAAGCCUGAUCCAGCCAUGCCGCGUGUGUGAAGAAGGUCUUCAGAUUGUAAAGCACUUUAAGUUGGGAGGAAGGGUUGUAGAUUAAUACUCUGCAAUUUUGACGUUACCGACAGAAUAAGCACCGGCUAACUCUGUGCCAGCAGCCGCGGUAAUACAGAGGGUGCAAGCGUUAAUCGGAAUUACUGGGCGUAAAGCGCGCGUAGGUGGUUUGUUAAGUUGGAUGUGAAAUCCCCGGGCUCAACCUGGGAACUGCAUUCAAAACUGACUGACUAGAGUAUGGUAGAGGGUGGGUGGAAUUUCCUGUGUAGCGGUGAAAUGCGUAGAUAUAGGAAGGAACACCAGUGGCGAAAGCGACCACCUGGACUAAUACUGACACUGAGGUGCGAAAGCGUGAGGAGCAAACACGAUUAGAUACCCUGGUAGUCCACGCCGUAAACGAUGUCAACUAACCGUUGGAAGCCUUGAGCUUUUAGUGGCGCAGCUAACGCAUUAAGUUGAUCGCCUGGGGAGUACGGCCGCAGGGUAAAAACUCAAAUGAAUUGACGGGCGACCGCACAAACGGUGAACCAUGUAGUUUAAUUCCAAGCAGCUCUAAUUACCUUACCGGGCAUGACAUCCAUGAACUUUCAUCAGAUAGAUUGUUGCCAUCAGGAACAUUCCA
RNAcentral lists this ribosomal RNA (949 nucleotides) under bacterium. RNAcentral describes it as "bacterial SSU rRNA". It matches the Rfam family "Bacterial small subunit ribosomal RNA", at positions 87 to 1034 of the family's 1533-position model. The record is from RNAcentral.